CCCGCUGAACUUAAGCAUAUCAAUAAGCGGAGGAAAAGAAACUAACAAGGAUUCCCCUAGUAACUGCGAGUGAAGCGGGAAAAGCUCAAAUUUAAAAUCUGGCGGUCUUUUGGCUGUCCGAGUUGUAAUCUAGAGAAGUGCUAUCCGCGCUGGACCGUGUACAAGUCUCCUGGAAUGGAGCAUCAUAGAGGGUGAGAAUCCCGUCUUUGACAUGGACUGCCAGGGCUUUGUGAUGUGCUCUCAAAGAGUCGAGUUGUUUGGGAAUGCAGCUCAAAAUGGGUGGUAAAUUUCAUCUAAAGCUAAAUACUGGCGAGAGACCGAUAGCGCACAAGUAGAGUGAUCGAAAGAUGAAAAGCACUUUGAAAAUAGAGUCAAAAAGUACGUGAAAUUGUUGAAAGGGAAGCGCUUGAGAUCAGAGUCAGCCUUUGGCAAACAACUGUCCUUAUGGGCGGUGCACUUGUCAUUGGUUGGGUCAGCAUCGGUUGGGACGGUAGGAUAAAGGCUUGGGAAAUGUGACUCCUUUAUGGAGUGUUAUAGUCCCGGGUGGCAUGCUAUCAGUCUCGACCGUGGACCGCGCCUUGGCUCGGAUGCUGGCUUAAUGGUCUUCAGCGACCCGUCUUGAAACACGG
RNAcentral lists this ribosomal RNA (629 nucleotides) under uncultured fungus. RNAcentral describes it as "eukaryotic LSU rRNA". It matches the Rfam family "Eukaryotic large subunit ribosomal RNA", at positions 24 to 664 of the family's 3401-position model. The record is from RNAcentral. Lineage: Eukaryota; Fungi.